Long non-coding RNA from Cucurbita maxima (winter squash), 570 nucleotides. RefSeq lists it as uncharacterized. The record is from RefSeq and is a predicted model, not a curated record. The transcript has 2 exons. NCBI's taxonomy places the organism in Eukaryota, Viridiplantae, Streptophyta, Magnoliopsida, Cucurbitales, Cucurbitaceae.
GUUGUUGCAGACGGAACACAAGCCCUCUCCAACGCUAACAUUUCAAGCGAAAGGAAGUAGGAGUGGCCGUUAUUGGAACGACGGAGCUGUUUUUUGUACCAUCAAAGCGCUCAAAAUCUUCCAUGGAGGAAAGUGUAUUGAUGCCAUUCAAAUCAAUUAUGAAGACAAGGAUGGGAACUCAAUUUGGUCUAAAAUCAAGGCGGAAAUGAUGUUGGAACUAGACGAAUACCUUAUUUCAGUUCACGGCUACCAUGGGAGCAUCUUUGAUAAAUAUGGGAAUCCAACCAACGUCAUUCGGUCUCUAACUUUUGAAACCAACCAAAGAACCUUGGGUUCGUUUAGGAUUGAAGACGGUAUCAAGUUUUCAUUCCCAACCACUGGACUCAUCAAGAUUGUUGGCUUCCAUGGGAGGUGUGGUUGGUACCUCGAUUCAAUCGGAUUCCACUUCGUUUCGAUAUCAAUUUCAGGAUAGAUUUUGUAUUUUGACAUUGGCUCGCAUAUGCAUUCCUUUGGAACUAUAAUGUUUUUGAUAUAUUUGCUUGAUAAAUGAAAGGAAAGAAGUGAGAAUUA